This 258-nucleotide ribosomal RNA is filed under the name uncultured bacterium. RNAcentral describes it as "partial 16S ribosomal RNA". It matches the Rfam family "Bacterial small subunit ribosomal RNA", at positions 96 to 354 of the family's 1533-position model. The record is from RNAcentral.
UGGCGGACGGGUGAAUAACGCGUGGGUAACCUACCUCACACAGGGGGAUAACAGUUGGAAACGACCGCUAAUACCGCAUAAGCCGGAAGGAUCGCAUGAUCCGGCCGGAAAAGAUUUAUCGGUGUGAGAUGGACCCGCGUCUGAUUAGCCAGUUGGCAGGGUAACGGCCUACCAAAGCGACGAUCAGUAGCCGGCCUGAGAGGGUGAACGGCCACAUUGGGACUGAGACACGGCCCAAACUCCUACGGAAGGCAGCAG